GGGGCUGACUUGGAUUCGACAGCAGGUGAAAGUGGUAUGUAAGCAUGCAGAGCACAGGAAUUCCGGCUCUUUAAUCACGGGUUUCAACUUUUUAAUUGGCGAAAAUAAUUACGCUCUUGCAGCUUAAUCGAAGUAUAGUAGAUUAGCAUUAUUCGGUAUAAGAUACUGAAACAAGACAUCUCGUAAGUGCUAUCUUCCUGAGGCGGCUUACAUCAGAGAUGCUGGAAAAUCGGGAACCGGCAAUAGUUUUCUUCGCAUUAUUGCUUAAAUAAAGAAGAUAAGGUAGCAGUCGGUGGCUUUGAUCCAGCUGUUAUUCGAAAAUUAAGUCAAAGCUAAGCAUGUAGAAAGCAUAUGGCUUCCUUGACUGGACCAGGGUUCGAAACCCUGCAGCUCCACAA
Saccharicrinis fermentans is the source of this 398-nucleotide non-coding RNA. It matches the Rfam family "transfer-messenger RNA". Rfam says of the family: Bacterial tmRNA, also known as 10Sa RNA or SsrA, is named for its dual tRNA and mRNA-like properties. Its role is to liberate the mRNA from a stalled ribosome. To accomplish this part of the tmRNA is used as a reading frame that ends in a translation stop signal. Lineage: Bacteria; Pseudomonadati; Bacteroidota; Bacteroidia; Marinilabiliales; Marinilabiliaceae. The record is from Rfam.